AUUGAACGCUGGCGGCAUGCUUUACACAUGCAAGUCGAACGGCAGCGCGGUCUUCGCCCUGGCUGCGGGUGGCGGACGGGUGAGUGAUGCAUCGGAACGUGCCCAGUAGUGUGUGAUAGCCCGGCGACAGCCGGAUUAAUACCGCAUUCGACCUUAGGGUGAAAGCGGGGGACCGAAAGGCCUUGCGCUAUUGCAGCGGCCGAUGUCGGAUUAGCUAGUUGGUGGGGUAAAGGCUUACCAAGGCGACGAUCCGUAGCUGGUCUGAGAGGAUGACCAGCCACACUGGAACUGAGACACGGCCCAGACUCCUACGGGAGGCAGCAGUGGGGAAUUUUGGACAAUGGGGGCAACCCUGAUCCAGCCAUGCCGCGUGCGGGAAGAAGGCCUUCGGGUUGUAAACCGCUUUUGUUCGGGAAGAAAAGCUGUGGGCUAAUACCCCGGGGGGAUGACGGUACCGGAAGAAUAAGCACCGGCUAACUACGUG
Molecule: ribosomal RNA, 484 nt
Filed under: uncultured bacterium
Lineage: Bacteria
Description: partial 16S ribosomal RNA
Rfam family: Bacterial small subunit ribosomal RNA
Source: RNAcentral